CCUACGGGUGGCUGCAGUGGGGAAUAUUGGACAAUGGGGGGAACCCUGAUCCAGCGACGCCGCGUGAGUGAAGAAGUAUUUCGGUAUGUAAAGCUCUAUCAGCAGGGAAGAAAGAAAUGACUGUACCUGACUAAGAAGCCCCGGCUAACUACGUUCCAGCAGCCGCGGUAAUACGUAGGGGGCAAGCGUUAUCCGGAUUUACUGGGUGUAAAGGGAGCGUAGACGGUUACGCAAGUCUGGAGUGAAAGGCGGGGGCCCAACCCCCGGACUGCUUUGGAAACUGUAUAAAUGGAGUGCAGGAGAGGUAAGUGGAAUUCCUAGUGUGGCGGUGAAAUGCGUAGAUAUUGGGAGGAACAACAGUGGCGAAGGCGGCUUACUGGACUGUAACUGACGUGGAGGCUCGAAAGCGUGGGGAGCAAACAGGAUUAGAUACCCUAGUAGUC
RNAcentral lists this ribosomal RNA (443 nucleotides) under uncultured bacterium. RNAcentral describes it as "partial 16S ribosomal RNA". It matches the Rfam family "Bacterial small subunit ribosomal RNA", at positions 338 to 795 of the family's 1533-position model. The record is from RNAcentral.